Molecule: ribosomal RNA, 1683 nt
Filed under: Salmonella enterica subsp. enterica serovar Bovismorbificans str. Sal610
Lineage: Bacteria; Pseudomonadati; Pseudomonadota; Gammaproteobacteria; Enterobacterales; Enterobacteriaceae
Description: bacterial LSU rRNA
Rfam family: Bacterial large subunit ribosomal RNA
Source: RNAcentral
CGAUUCAGCGGGUUACGAUUGACGGAGCGAAGCGACGUCAAAGCGUAUACAAAGUCGAGUCGGUUUAAGGAUGCGUUCGUUGGGUAGGGGAGCGUUCUGUAAGCCUGCGAAGGUGGCCUGUGAGGGUUGCUGGAGGUAUCAGAAGUGCGAAUGCUGACAUAAGUAACGAUAAAGCGGGUGAAAAGCCCGCUCGCCGGAAGACCAAGGGUUCCUGUCCAACGUUAAUCGGGGCAGGGUGAGUCGACCCCUAAGGCGAGGCCGAAAGGCGUAGUCGAUGGGAAACGGGUUAAUAUUCCCGUACUUGGUGUUACUGCGAAGGGGGGACGGAGAAGGCUAUGUUGGCCGGGCGACGGUUGUCCCGGUUUAAGCGUGUAGGCUGGUUUUCCAGGCAAAUCCGGAAAAUCAAGGCUGAGGCGUGACGACGAGGCACUACGGUGCUGAAGCAACAAAUGCCCUGCUUCCAGGAAAAGCCUCUAAGCAUCAGGUAACAUCAAAUCGUACCCCAAACCGACACAGGUGGUCAGGUAGAGAAUACCAAGGCGCUUGAGAGAACUCGGGUGAAGGAACUAGGCAAAAUGGUGCCGUAACUUCGGGAGAAGGCACGCUGACAUGUAGGUGAAGUGAUUUACUCAUGGAGCUGAAGUCAGUCGAAGAUACCAGCUGGCUGCAACUGUUUAUUAAAAACACAGCACUGUGCAAACACGAAAGUGGACGUAUACGGUGUGACGCCUGCCCGGUGCCGGAAGGUUAAUUGAUGGGGUCAGCGCAAGCGAAGCUCCUGAUCGAAGCCCCGGUAAACGGCGGCCGUAACUAUAACGGUCCUAAGGUAGCGAAAUUCCUUGUCGGGUAAGUUCCGACCUGCACGAAUGGCGUAAUGAUGGCCAGGCUGUCUCCACCCGAGACUCAGUGAAAUUGAACUCGCUGUGAAGAUGCAGUGUACCCGCGGCAAGACGGAAAGACCCCGUGAACCUUUACUAUAGCUUGACACUGAACAUUGAGCCUUGAUGUGUAGGAUAGGUGGGAGGCUUUGAAGUGUGGACGCCAGUCUGCAUGGAGCCGACCUUGAAAUACCACCCUUUAAUGUUUGAUGUUCUAACGUGGACCCGUUACCCGGGUUGCGGACAGUGUCUGGUGGGUAGUUUGACUGGGGCGGUCUCCUCCUAAAGAGUAACGGAGGAGCACGAAGGUUGGCUAAUCCUGGUCGGACAUCAGGAGGUUAGUGCAAUGGCAUAAGCCAGCUUGACUGCGAGCGUGACGGCGCGAGCAGGUGCGAAAGCAGGUCAUAGUGAUCCGGUGGUUCUGAAUGGAAGGGCCAUCGCUCAACGGAUAAAAGGUACUCCGGGGAUAACAGGCUGAUACCGCCCAAGAGUUCAUAUCGACGGCGGUGUUUGGCACCUCGAUGUCGGCUCAUCACAUCCUGGGGCUGAAGUAGGUCCCAAGGGUAUGGCUGUUCGCCAUUUAAAGUGGUACGCGAGCUGGGUUUAGAACGUCGUGAGACAGUUCGGUCCCUAUCUGCCGUGGGCGCUGGAGAACUGAGGGGGGCUGCUCCUAGUACGAGAGGACCGGAGUGGACGCAUCACUGGUGUUCGGGUUGUCAUGCCAAUGGCACUGCCCGGUAGCUAAAUGCGGAAGAGAUAAGUGCUGAAAGCAUCUAAGCACGAAACUUGCCCCGAGAUGAGUUCU